Molecule: ribosomal RNA, 301 nt
Filed under: uncultured bacterium
Lineage: Bacteria
Description: partial 16S ribosomal RNA
Rfam family: Bacterial small subunit ribosomal RNA
Source: RNAcentral
CAGUCGCCACGGUAAUACGGAGGGUGCAAGCGUUAUCCGGAUUUAUUGGGUUUAAAGGGUCCGUAGGCGGACUUAUAAGUCAGUGGUGAAAGCCUGUCGCUUAACGAUAGAACUGCCAUUGAUACUGUAAGUCUUGAGUAUAUUUGAGGUAGCUGGAAUAAGUAGUGUAGCGGUGAAAUGCAUAGAUAUUACUUAGAACACCAAUUGCGAAGGCAGGUUACCAAGAUAUAACUGACGCUGAGGGACGAAAGCGUGGGUAGCGAACAGGAUUAGAGACCCGCGUAGUCCCUGUCUCUUAUAC